AAACGGGUGGUAAUGCCGGAUGCUCCAGUUGAUCGCAUGGUCUUCUGGGAAAGCUUUCGCGGUAUGGGAUGGGGUCGCGUCCUAUCAGCUUGACGGCGGGGUAACGGCCCACCGUGGCUUCGACGGGUAGCCGGCCUGAGAGGGCGACCGGCCACAUUGGGACUGAGAUACGGCCCAGACUCCUACGGGAGGCAGCAGUGGGGAAUAUUGCACAAUGGGCGCAAGCCUGAUGCAGCGACGCCGCGUGAGGGAUGGAGGCCUUCGGGUUGUAAACCUCUUUUAUCGGGGAGCAAGCGUGAGUGAGUUUACCCGUUGAAUAAGCACCGGCUAACUACGUGCCAGCAGCCGCGGUAAUACGUAGGGUGCAAGCGUUAUCCGGAAUUAUUGGGCGUAAAGGGCUCGUAGGCGGUUCGUCGCGUCCGGUGUGAAAGUCCAUCGCUUAACGGUGGAUCCGCGCCGGGUACGGGCGGGCUUGAGUGCGGUAGGGGAGACUGGAAUUCCCGGUGUAACGGUGGAAUGUGUAGAUAUCGGG
This 532-nucleotide ribosomal RNA is filed under the name Bifidobacterium longum subsp. suillum. RNAcentral's name for it is "bacterial SSU rRNA". It matches the Rfam family "Bacterial small subunit ribosomal RNA", at positions 154 to 701 of the family's 1533-position model. The record is from RNAcentral. Lineage: Bacteria; Bacillati; Actinomycetota; Actinomycetes; Bifidobacteriales; Bifidobacteriaceae.